AGAGUUUUGAAACAGGCUCAGGACGAACGCUGGCGGCGUGCUUAACACAUGCAAGUCGAACGAUGAUGCCCAGCUUGCUGGGCGGAUUAGUGGCGAACGGGUGAGUAAUACGUGAGUAACCUGCCCUUGACUCUGGGAUAAGCCUGGGAAACUGGGUCUAAUACUGGAUACUACCUCUUACCGCAUGGUGGGUGGUGGAAAGGGUUUUACUGGUUUUGGAUGGGCUCACGGCCUAUCAGCUUGUUGGUGGGGUAAUGGCUCACCAAGGCGACGACGGGUAGCCGGCCUGAGAGGGUGACCGGCCACACUGGGACUGAGACACGGCCCAGACUCCUACGGGAGGCAGCAGUGGGGAAUAUUGCACAAUGGGCGGAAGCCUGAUGCAGCGACGCCGCGUGAGGGAUGACGGCCUUCGGGUUGUAAACCUCUUUCAGUAGGGAAGAAGCGAGAGUGACGGUACCUGCAGAAGAAGCGCCGGCUAACUACGUGCCAGCAGCCGCGGUAAUACGUAGGGCGCAAGCGUUGUCCGGAAUUAUUGGGCGUAAAGAGCUCGUAGGCGGUUUGUCGCGUCUGCUGUGAAAGCCCGGGGCUCAACCCCGGGUCUGCAGUGGGUACGGGCAGACUAGAGUGCAGUAGGGGAGACUGGAAUUCCUGGUGUAGCGGUGAAAUGCGCAGAUAUCAGGAGGAACACCGAUGGCGAAGGCAGGUCUCUGGGCUGUUACUGACGCUGAGGAGCGAAAGCAUGGGGAGCGAACAGGAUUAGAUACCCUGGUAGUCCAUGCCGUAAACGUUGGGCACUAGGUGUGGGGGACAUUCCACGUUUUCCGCGCCGUAGCUAACGCAUUAAGUGCCCCGCCUGGGGAGUACGGCCGCAAGGCUAAAACUCAAAGGAAUUGACGGGGGCCCGCACAAGCGGCGGAGCAUGCGGAUUAAUUCGAUGCAACGCGAAGAACCUUACCAAGGCUUGACAUUCACCGGACCGCCCCAGAGAUGGGGUUUCCCUUCGGGGCUGGUGGACAGGUGGUGCAUGGUUGUCGUCAGCUCGUGUCGUGAGAUGUUGGGUUAAGUCCCGCAACGAGCGCAACCCUCGUUCUAUGUUGCCAGCACGUGAUGGUGGGGACUCAUAGGAGACUGCCGGGGUCAACUCGGAGGAAGGUGGGGAUGACGUCAAAUCAUCAUGCCCCUUAUGUCUUGGGCUUCACGCAUGCUACAAUGGCCGGUACAAAGGGUUGCGAUACUGUGAGGUGGAGCUAAUCCCAAAAAGCCGGUCUCAGUUCGGAUUGAGGUCUGCAACUCGACCUCAUGAAGUCGGAGUCGCUAGUAAUCGCAGAUCAGCAACGCUGCGGUGAAUACGUUCCCGGGCCUUGUACACACCGCCCGUCAAGUCACGAAAGUUGGUAACACCCGAAGCCGGUGGCCUAACCCCUUGUGGGAGGGAGCCGUCGAAGGUGGGACUGGCGAUUGGGACU
This 1469-nucleotide ribosomal RNA is filed under the name Kocuria sp. Its description in RNAcentral is "bacterial SSU rRNA". It matches the Rfam family "Bacterial small subunit ribosomal RNA". Lineage: Bacteria; Bacillati; Actinomycetota; Actinomycetes; Micrococcales; Micrococcaceae. The record is from RNAcentral.